AGAUAUCUAAAAAUAAGGUGGAGGUCAUCGACGCCAUGGAUGAUAUAGGAAACACCUAACUGUUACAGGAUGGGAAACAAGUGUAGAAGAUAUAUUUAGAGACAGGUAAAGGAGCGUUACCGUGCUAUUACAACAGCUAUGGACAAGACAGUCGAAGAUUGUCCCAGAAACCUGACAGAGACAGUGGAAGCCUCUGCACGACUGGGCUGUGGUCGUGACAAGUAUGGAAAUGACCAGUAUAUGUGUCUCCCUAACUUAGAGACAACAAGUCUGGUAGAAUUCUGUCACGAUGGUUUCAUGGGCUUAAUAGAAAGUGGUAAUUGUUUGAAAACUGCAGAGAGUAAAAUUUUUACACACAAAUGUUCCAAUUUUGUUUCUGGCUGCCCGGAUGUAGACUUCGCAGUAACGAAAUCUACAAAUACCCUGCUUGUCAAAACAUUAGUACAGAACAUCGUUGUUUUCUUGCUGAUCCAUAUUGUGCAAACGCGACAUGGGAUAUAUCUACUGAAGAAACAGAGGAAAAAUUUAUCCCCAAGUCCACAACAAAUCAUGUAAUAUACAACACAACAGCAAUGAAUAUUCAUACAACCAAAUUCCAAGAAGAUGACUCAGCACAUAUCGGGGCAAUUAUGGGCAUUGUUGUUGCUGUACUGGGUCUUAUACUGCUGUUAAUAAUUUUGAGGGUUGUAUGGAAGAGAAUGCAAAAACUGAAAAGUAAAGAAAGAAAGGAAUUUUUGACUGAAAAAGAAAACUUAUUGACGCAAACAGAGGAGAAAGUUGUCCAAGGGGCUACAAAGGGAGAUGAAGCAGGCACCAGUAGUAAACAAAACGAGAGCGAAAAUGAUAUCACGGAGAUUGAUGAAGGUGGUCAAAAUGAAGAAAUAAAACAUUAUAUCCCAGAGGUUUGCGUUAGUAGUGAAACAAUGGGAGAUGAAGUUGACAUUGGUGAUACUUAAAACUCGAGUCCUUAAUGAACCAAAUGAUAAGAAAUAUGGUAUUACAGCGGCUGGUGUCAACUGUGAACCAGUGGAAGCGGAGUAUAGUAUAUCAGAAAGUGAUAUUCAUAGUGACUCAGAAGAAAAGGACCAUAGUAUUUCAGAGACUGAUGUUAAUGGUGAAGUGCAGGAGAGGGAGAAUGAUGUCACAGAGGCUGGUGUCAGUAGAGAAUCAGAGGAGGGGGAGCAUGGGAUCCUAAGGGAUAGUAAAUCUAGAAGAGAAAGGA
This is an RNA transcript of Saccostrea cuccullata (small rock oyster), 1222 nucleotides long. RefSeq lists it as uncharacterized. The transcript is spliced from 8 exons. NCBI's taxonomy places the organism in Eukaryota, Metazoa, Mollusca, Bivalvia, Ostreida, Ostreidae. The record is from RefSeq and is a predicted model, not a curated record.